Molecule: ribosomal RNA, 747 nt
Filed under: Ophryoscolex purkynjei
Lineage: Eukaryota; Ciliophora; Litostomatea; Entodiniomorphida; Ophryoscolecidae
Description: SSU rRNA
Rfam family: Eukaryotic small subunit ribosomal RNA
Source: RNAcentral
GUUAUUGUUUAUUUGAUACAUUAAAUGGAUAACUGUAGAAAAACUAGAGCUAAUACAUGCUAAGGCCGCAAGGUCGUAUUUAUUAGAUAUUCCAAAUCGGUGAAUCAUAAUAACUUCGCAAAUCUCAUCUAUGAUGAGAUAAAUCAUCCAAGUUUCUGCCCUAUCAUGCUUUCGAUGGUAGUGUAUUGGACUACCAUGGCUCUCACGGGUAACAGGGAAUUAGGGUUCGAUUCUGGAGAAGGAGCCUGAGAAACGGCUACUACAUCUACGGAAGGCAGCAGGCGCGUAAAUUACCCAAUCCUGACUCAGGGAGGUGGUGACAAGAUAUAACAACGCGAUUUAUAUCGCGAUUGUAGUGAGGGUAUUCUAAAUAGAACCUAUAGUACGAUUAGAGGGCAAGUCUGGUGCCAGCAGCCGCGGUAAUUCCAGCUCUAAUAGCGUAUAUUAAUGUUGCUGCAGUUAAAAAGCUCGUAGUUGGAUUUCAAGGACUGUAUACCCUCCCGGGCAUACAACCUACUAGUCUCUGACUGUUACUGUGAGUAAAUUAGAGUGUUUCAAGCAGGCUUUUGCAAGAAUAUAUUAGCAUGGAAUAACGAAUGUAUUUAGAAUCUUGGUUAAUUCUAUAUUACGAUUAAUAGAGACAGUUGGGGGCAUUAGUAUUUAAUUGUCAGAGGUGAAAUUCUUGGAUUUGUUAAAGACUAACGUAUGCGAAAGCAUUUGCCAAGGAUGUUUUCAUUAAUCAAGGAC